CUGGCCUACGGGGGGCAGCAGUGGGGGAUAUUGCACAAUGGGGGAAACCCUGAUGCAGCGACGCCGCGUGUAGGAAGACGGUCCUCUGGAUUGUAAACUACUGUCCCCAGGGACGAAGAUGACGGUACCUGGGGAGGAAGCUCCGGCUAACUACGUGCCAGCAGCCGCGGCAAUACGUAGGGAGCGAGCGUUGUCCGGAAUUACUGGGUGUAAAGGGAGCGUAGGCGGGGAGUUAAGUCAGCGGUAAAAUUUCGGGGCUCAACCCCGACGAGCCGUUGAAACUGGCUUGCUAGAGUGGGCGAGAG
This 305-nucleotide ribosomal RNA is filed under the name uncultured bacterium. RNAcentral describes it as "bacterial SSU rRNA". It matches the Rfam family "Bacterial small subunit ribosomal RNA", at positions 332 to 656 of the family's 1533-position model. The record is from RNAcentral.